CUCCACAAUCCCAAAAUGCAAAAGACACCCUCUAAUCAGAGAUCAUUCCUCUGCUUCCACUCUCAGAUCUACUCCAACAUGAGAAACAACAGAUGAACACGUCAGAAACAGUGUGUGUGUGUGUGUGUGACUGUGUGUGUGUGUGUCAGAGACAGGCCUCCUGGGAAUGAAGUCGAUUGCAGUUUUAAUGACUCGUGUUAAGAAGCACACACAUCAGAAACAGUGUGUGUGUGACUUCUUGUGUUAAGAAGCACACAUUAGAAACGCUAAACACAAGAGCAUUGAACCAAAGAACAGUCCUAGCAGGAAAGAGAACAAAACUAAAACAAAAACCUACAAACUUUGACCUUUAGGGUUCGUGACCUUUGAACUUUGACCUUUAGGGUUUGACCUAAAGGCCUCUUUACGUACAGAAACUCCAGUCCCAUCUGCUCUUAAUAAACUCGGGGGGAAUAAAAGUUUGGUCAAUUAUUUCUGUUGUUACAAUGCUUGUAUUUUAUAUCGUUGGAAAGCCUGUUUAUUUACCUUUACAAUGAUGUCCAACUUGUAAGGAUCACACAUUUGUGGGAUGAGCAGCACAGAUGAUUAUGUGGGAAGCGGCCAAGUAAAGGUUGCCAUAAUUCUCUGCCCAUGUUAAAGAGUGUGUUCCAAUAUGUCCACAAUCUGGGACCCAUAGUGCCAGGGUCAUGAUGUCAUCACACACUACCUCCAGGUGUGGGAGUGGACCGGAUGGAAUGGCCUCAACCCAACUGAACACUUGUAGGAUCAGCUUGGGCGUGCUGUACGUGUUAGAGUGACCAACACAACCACACUGGCUGCACACACACACACACACACACACACUAGCUGACCUGUAUGUGUUAGUGACCAACACAACCACACUGGCUACACACACACACACACACACACACAACCACACUAGCUGCACACACACACACACACUAGCUGACCUGUAUGUGUUAGUGACCAACACAACCACGAUGGCUGACCUGUACGUGUUAGAGUGACCAACACAACCACACUGGCUACACACACACACACACACACACACACAACCACACUGGCUGACCUGUACGUGUUAGAGUGACCAACACAACCACACUAGCUGACCUGUAUGUUAGUGACCAACACAACCACACUGGCUACACACACACACACAACCACACUGGCUGACCUGUAUGUGUUAGUGACCAACACAACCACACUGGCUGCACACACACACACACACACACAACCACACUGGCUGACCUGUAUGUGUUAGUGACCAACACAACCACGAUGGCUGACCUGCAACGACUCCUGGUUGAGGAAUGGAGUGCCAUCCCACAGCAACAUGUGACCAGGUUGGUGACCAGCAUGAGGAGGAGGUGCCAGGCUGUUGUGGCAGCGUAUGGAUCUUCCACCCGCUACUGAGGCUCCUGACGGUGUAUUAAAUGAAUAAAGUGUAAAAUUGCCAAUAUGUCUUUUUUGUUCCUUGUUACUGAUCAUGAGUUCAAUCAUCCAAUCCACCAAACAACUCAAAACAAGAGUGAAUACCAACAGGAGAAUACACUCUUUAACAUUGGCAGAGAAUUUUGGCAAUUACUUGGCCGCUACCCACAUAAUCAUCUGUGCUGCUCAUCCCACAAAUGCAUGAUCCUUACAAGCUGUACAUUUUUGUAAAGGUAAAUAAACAGGCUUUCCAACGAUAUAAAAUACAAUGCCAAUUAGCAUUGUAACAACAGAGGAAUAAUCGUCCAAACACAAACUUUUUUUCUCCGAGUUUAUAUCACAAACAGCCUUCCUACACAUCUAUUCUUUGUGUUAAUGUCACAAACAGCCUUCCUAUACAAAACCUAAGAAAUGAAAGCGUACGUGUAAGUGUAGAUGGAUGCUGCCCCCUUUUCACGUGGUCCGCCUGAACGUUCCUCUUCCCCUCAGAGUAACAAACCUCUGGCCGUAAACGCUUCUCCUGACUAACACCAGUUACCCAACAUCUGGUUAAAAAAAAAUGAAUUAAAAAAUAAAACACGUCAUGUUUCUCCUGACUAACGAGUGACCCAUCAUAGGAAAAACACACACAUCACUGCAGAUCCUUCUGAUGUCAUAAGGCCUCCACCAUAUUUGUGUACAUGGCAAAACAAAUAAACAAAAACAAGCACACACACCCCUUACUCAUAACAUCUUAAUGAAUCCACUGCUUCUUUAGCCGGUCAGGUCCUCAGCGCAGUGUUUUUAUCGGUCACUCUCUUCUCUUACACGUAGAAAGGGUUUUAUUCACACACACACACACACACACACACACACACACACACACACACACACACACACACACACACACACACACACACACACACACACACAACACACACACACAACACACACACACACACACACACACACACACACACACACACACACACACACACACACACACACACACACACACACACACACACACACACACGAUGGGUUAAGGCUGCCUCUGAACCCAACACAACCAGAAUUCACUUCCACAGCUUUUUUAGUGUUCAGGUGAAGCUGAUCUGGCAGCAGAGUUUGUAGGCCUGUAGAGUUGAGUAGAGUUUGUAGGCCUGCAGAGUUGAGUAGAGUUUGUAGGCCUGUAGAGUUUGUAGGCCUGUAGAGUUGAGCAGAGAUGAUUUCUCUUGGUACACAUGGUGGGGGCGGAGGGGUUGGACAUGCUGGCUCAGGUGAUAAAGCCACACCCUUCGUCAGUAAGUUCUUAGUAAACACAUAGAACAACCUGACCCGUGUGUGUGUGUGUGUGUGUGGCUAUCUAAGGGUAAAACACAAAUGAAACAAACUGACCGACACCAUGACAUCAGAAAGAUACCUUUUAGGAUUUUUUUUUUCUUUUUUAACAGAACGAAAACCUGACAGGCUAACCACAGCCACAGCUCUAUGAUAAGGACCCCCCCCAACCCCAGGGCUAUGACAAGAACGUUAUGACAAGAACGUGACUUUUGCGAAGCACAAAUGGCUGGAGGGAUUCCUAGUCCUGGUCGGCGGUUAAGAGCUGGAUCAGCAGUCAUCAACAGGCGGCCCCACACUGCGCCUCUGUGUGUGUGUGUGUGUGUGUGUGUGUGUGUGUGUCUGGAGAUCCGUCCUCUGUCUGUUUGUGUGUGUGUGUGGGGGUGUGUUUGUGUGAGUGGGGGUGUGUGUGUCUGGAGAUCCGUCCUCUAUCUGUUUGUGCGUGUCGGUGUGUGAGUGUCUGGCGAUCCGUACUCUGUGUGUGUGUGUGUGUGUGUGUCUGGCGAUCCGUCCUCUCUGUGUGUGUGUGUGUGUGUGUGUGUGUGUCUGGCGAUCCGUCCUCCCUGUGUGUGUGUCUGGAGGCCCAUCAGGUUGCCUUUGGACUGGGUGGGUUGGGGUUCUGCUUCGGCCUCCUCUUCUCUCUGGAGGGAAACAACCAACAUCAUCAUUAAAGCAUCUGAUCUAUCUUGGCCGAUCACUGCAUCUGAUCUAUCUUGGUCGAUCACCGAUCACUGCAUCUAAGUAGGUCAGACACAGACAGAGAGGGGUAGACACUGACGCAGACAGACAGACAGAGAGAGAGAGAGGUAGAGAGAGAGAGGGGUAGACACUGACGCAGACAGACAGACAGACAGACAGACAGACAGACAGACAGACAGAGAGAGAGAGAGAGAGAGAGAGAGAGAGAGAGGUAGACACUGACGCAGACAGACAGACAGACAGACAGACAGACAGACAGACAGACAGACAGACAGACAGACAGAGAACACAGCAGGACCACCACAAACAUGGCAGCAAGGCCUCCGCUCAGCACCACCAUCACAGCAGCACAGGGUGCAAACACAUGGGAAAAGCUAUGCUGAAGCCCUUACUGGAGCUCCAGACCCCAAUGACAUGAUGGACACC
Clupea harengus (Atlantic herring) is the source of this 3876-nucleotide long non-coding RNA. Lineage: Eukaryota; Metazoa; Chordata; Actinopteri; Clupeiformes; Clupeidae. The record is from Ensembl.